This 77-nucleotide transfer RNA is filed under the name Alteromonas australica. RNAcentral's name for it is "tRNA-Pro". Lineage: Bacteria; Pseudomonadati; Pseudomonadota; Gammaproteobacteria; Alteromonadales; Alteromonadaceae. The record is from RNAcentral.
AGGCUUGUAGCUCAGCUGGUUAGAGCGCACCCCUCGGAUCGGUGAGGUCGGCAGUUCAAGUCUGCCCAAGCCUACCA